CAAGUGACCCCGGUCUAACCACCGGGACGUUCAUAACCCUUUGUUGUCCGACUCUGUUGCCUCCGGGGCGACCCUGCCUUCGGGCGGGGGCUCCGGGUGGACACUUCAAACUCUUGCGUAACUUUGCAGUCUGAGUAAACUUAAUUAAUAAAUUA
RNAcentral lists this unclassified non-coding RNA (155 nucleotides) under soil metagenome. RNAcentral's name for it is "partial internal transcribed spacer 1". The record is from RNAcentral.